CAGGGAGACAGCAAAAUGUUUAAUAUUAUAAUUUUGUCACCUUAGGUCGAUCGGUAUCUCACGUUCUUAAUUUAUUAAGAAUUUCAUUUCCUAAGUUUUUCUAGGUCACACCCAUUAUUUUUCCUGGGCCAUUAGCUCAGGUGGUUAGAGCGCACCCCUGAUAAGGGUGAGGUCCCUGGUUCAAGUCCAGGAUGGCCCAUAUCUCUAUGUUGGGGGUAUAGCUCAGUUGGUAGAGCGCCUGCUUUGCAAGCAGGAUGUCAGCGGUUCGAGUCCGCUUACCUCCACUGAUUACCACCUCUUCCAUAAUCCGUAUUAGGGAAAUUUUUUGAGUUGUGAUCAAAUUCUGAACGAAUCUAGCUUCCUAAUGAAAUCAUUAAGAUGCUGGACUCAUUGAAUUAAUUUCAUUGUUUUCAGAGAACCUUGACAACUGCAUAGAUUAUUUUUUAUAGACAAUAAGCAUCUUUAAUGAUGCAGAUUUAUUAUUUGUGCUAAAGCAUUAAUAAACAAUUCUAUUAAGCUGAUGCUUCA
Molecule: transfer RNA, 528 nt
Filed under: uncultured Prochlorococcus sp.
Lineage: Bacteria; Bacillati; Cyanobacteriota; Cyanophyceae; Synechococcales; Prochlorococcaceae
Description: partial 16S-23S ribosomal RNA intergenic spacer
Rfam family: tRNA (bases 212-284)
Source: RNAcentral